GCGAGCGGUUGUGGUGGGAGUUGAAGGGGUGCGCUACUCCAGUGACAAAGCCAAGAAAGCGAGCGAGGAUAACGGCGCAGGUCCGAGCACAAUUUUGUGUCACAUCGACUAACUGGUCGUUUAACCAUUUAACGCCCUGGUCAUUUUGCUUAAGCAUCUUACACCGAAGAACUCCCGAGUUUAUCAGAAUGCAACUUAGCCUGGUCUCAAAGUUAACAGCGCCCAGUCUUUAUUCAAGAGAUACCACAAUGAUUGGUUUGAGUUGAGGAGUUUCUGGCCCUGUUGCGUUGUCCAUUGAGAGA
This is a long non-coding RNA of Amblyraja radiata (thorny skate), 302 nucleotides long. RefSeq lists it as uncharacterized. The transcript has 2 exons. The record is from RefSeq and is a predicted model, not a curated record. NCBI's taxonomy places the organism in Eukaryota, Metazoa, Chordata, Chondrichthyes, Rajiformes, Rajidae.